UUAAAACCUCACAGCGAGCGUGGCGUGGGAGAAAAUCAGAGGGGUAGAAUAAGGCAUGUAGAAUCUGGACUCCGAUUUCUGUCAGAAUUCACACUCCUGGCGGACAUACUCCCUGUGGUUUGUGUGGUGUUGAACAAGUCGUGGACCUCUCCCAGCCUCAGCUUCCAGAUCUGUAAAGUCAGACAAGAAUUGGACCCACCUCACAGGCUUGUUGGAGGAUCGCCCAGCUCUACGUCUUCUGAAGCACUCUGUGAACUCCCAAGCGCCUCGCAAACGAUUUAUGAAAUAUCUCAACUAGAUGUGGCAAUGAGAAUGUGCUCAACUGUCUUCAGCAGUGGAAAAGAAAAUGAUAUACUCCAAGACUCUGACUCUGUUACCAGUGCAAGUUAUGAAAAUGUCUCACCUCCCGUCAGCACCCAGACUGCAUCCACCGUCAUGUCUCU
RNAcentral lists this long non-coding RNA (443 nucleotides) under Equus asinus (donkey). Its description in RNAcentral is "lncRNA (ENSEASG00005036571.1, ENSEASG00020021448.1)". Lineage: Eukaryota; Metazoa; Chordata; Mammalia; Perissodactyla; Equidae. The record is from RNAcentral.